UCUCUAAACUCUUUCGACAACUUCACUUUCUCUCUCCCUCCCUCUACAAUUUCGGUCAGUUUUACUCCAAAUUCUUCAUCUGUUUCGUUCAAAUUUAUGUUAUUUAAUCGAUUAUCUUCAUCGAUUUUUCCAGAUUUCGUGUUUUAUGAGGUCUAUUUCAAAGGGAUUCUUGCUGAAGGAUAAAAUCUGGAGGGGGUAUUAUCAAAGCGUUGGCCAACCCAUAUGGGCCUCUCUCUGAAUAUUGCUAUUCUGGAUGUUCCUCUUAGUAUCUGGAAGAAAAUGCUACAUCCUUUAAGUGGCUUUAGUUUUGGCAGAAGGAGCAUUUGGCAUUUGGGAAGGCGAGGCUUGUGUCAUUUGUGCGGGAACACCUGUGAGGAUUAGAGGGGUGAAUGUUGGCAAUGUCAUCCGCGUGAAUCCUUCUUUGAAAAGCAUAGAAGCUGUCGUUGAGGUUAGUAUUCUUCAUCUCAUGCUUCUCUGUUACUACAGAAGACAAUACUAAAUUUUGCUGAUUUGCAAUUAAACAAAUAAUACAUGUACCCAGGAAAUCGUCCCUACCUAGUUGUAUUUUUCAAGAGUCUGAAUGUUGGUGGUAUCAUAAAGAUCAAACCUAAUUGACAAGGUUCAAUCCUAAAUAUUUAUGCAGCAUUCCUCCUUCUCAUAGUUUCCGUUUCAGAAGUUUUUAGAGAAUUGUCCAAUAAAAAAGUAGAUAGAGAAUACAUAAAAGUAAACAUAAAUAGUAAAAGCUAAAUUUCCCUAUCUUUUAUAGAUAGUACUUUCUUGAAUAUUUUGUUAAAACCUAUUAGCUCAAAUGGUAGAGCAAUGUGCCAUUGCACAUAGAUGUAGGUUCAAAUCCUACAUAGGUUGAUGAGAACACAUAGCUGAGCUCCGAUGUAUUUAUCGGGAUAGGUUCUACAAGAGAGUUACCCUCCGGCAUGAGCCGAGCUAAGUGUCAGAUUCUGCAUUUUGGGAAGUGGGUUAAAUUUUAUUUUGAAAAUAAGAAAAGGCAAAAAGAAUGAGAAAGAAAGAGAAAUGGGAGAAAUGGGAAAGUUUGUUUUACAAGAUUAACCUACGUGGGAUUCGAACCCACAUCUUUUGUGCAUUUGCACAAAGCUCUACCUAUUGAGCUAGUAGGCUAGUAAGAACUCAUCCAAGGAAGUUCAAUAUAGGGAGAUAAAUUUCAGAGAUAUUCAAAGUUUUUUUUUGUGUCCAUGUUCUAAAACGUUGAGCUCGUUGUUCCAAAUAUUGUAGCAUAUGUUCUAAUCCUUGAUAACAAAUGCUCUAUAUAAAUCAAAGGAUUAUUACCUUUGUACUAAUACAUAAUAAAUAUAAAAGAUCAGAUAAACAGAAUGCUGGACUAAAGACAACUCCCAGUCUCCCACUGUAUCAAAGUUCAAAGUGUCGUAUGUUCUAUAAAUAAGCCUCUGUGUAGUCUCUGCCAUAGUUGUCUUGGUGCUCUUAUCCUUUUCUUGUCUGAAGCUACAUGGAUCGAUGAAAGUAAACAGGAUCGAGGUGUUAUAAUGGCUGAAAUAGCCCGUGAAUUUGCUUGAUUAUUACAGAUUAGGA
Molecule: long non-coding RNA, 1563 nt
Organism: Spinacia oleracea (spinach)
Lineage: Eukaryota; Viridiplantae; Streptophyta; Magnoliopsida; Caryophyllales; Amaranthaceae
Exons: 4
Source: RefSeq, a predicted model, not a curated record